AAACCAUGGUGAGGAGCCGGUGCCACAUUCUCUCCUGAGCGGGAAGCUGGUCAUUGUGUUGCUUUGCUUCAACUACCAUUUACCAUCGAUGAUGGUUCUUCUCCACCUCUGGAAAGAGUCAGAGGAGAAGAUGCAAUCAGAGUGG
RNAcentral lists this small nucleolar RNA (145 nucleotides) under Echinops telfairi (small Madagascar hedgehog). RNAcentral describes it as "Small nucleolar RNA U3 (ENSETEG00000025329.1)". It matches the Rfam family "Small nucleolar RNA U3", at positions 74 to 219 of the family's 219-position model. Rfam says of the family: Small nucleolar RNAs (snoRNAs) are involved in the processing and modification of rRNA in the nucleolus. There are two main classes of snoRNAs: the box C/D class, and the box H/ACA class. Lineage: Eukaryota; Metazoa; Chordata; Mammalia; Afrosoricida; Tenrecidae. The record is from RNAcentral.